GGGAUAUCGAAGUACACAUGAUGGGACCAUUUAGGGUUAUUCUUUGCAUGUCUAGCUAGCUAGUUCCAUGUUGCUUUUUGAAAACUUUCGCAAAACUUCAUGUAAUGGACACCUUAUGUGGGGGACUUCAUAUUAUGAACUUUUGCCUUUUCCAUGAGUGAUGAGAGCUUCAAGGGACCUUAAAUUAUUUCUAGUGCUCUCUCCUGUAAAAGUGACCUGGGAAAAAAUUAUUUCAGUUUUAAUUCCAUCUUGUCAUUCUGUACAACAAUUAAGGGAGCUAGA
RNAcentral lists this unclassified non-coding RNA (282 nucleotides) under Hevea brasiliensis (rubber tree). Lineage: Eukaryota; Viridiplantae; Streptophyta; Magnoliopsida; Malpighiales; Euphorbiaceae. The record is from RNAcentral.